This 377-nucleotide long non-coding RNA is filed under the name Mytilus galloprovincialis (Mediterranean mussel). The record is from RNAcentral. Lineage: Eukaryota; Metazoa; Mollusca; Bivalvia; Mytilida; Mytilidae.
CAAAUUUCAAUAUUUCUGUCGCCAUACCAAAGGGUUCUCGUGUUAUGCGUUUUCAUAUUCAAUCUUCUUCAACUCUGAUUUCCAAAUAAUUAUACGUUGAUAUUAGUAGUUUAUUGUCGAUUUUGCCGUGAAGCUUUUCACCUUUUCUACUUUUGUAAAUAACUCGGAGGCAAAAAAAUUCACUGAACGGACACAAAUUUUCCAAACCACCUUCCUUUUAUGAAUGCGUUACACAACUUAAAUUCCCCUUAAUUGACUCAUUCCUUUCUUCAUACGAGGCUGAUUUCAUACAGGAGCUCCUUCAGAAGAAACCGGUAUACUUUAACUUUACUUCCCGCUAUAACGAUAAUGUUCUCUCCCAAGAUAAUUGAUUUAAA